AACCAGCACCUCAAGUGGUCAGGAUGAUUAUUGGGCCUAAAGCAUCCGUAGCCGGCGCUAUAAGUUUUCGGUUAAAUCUGUACGUUCAACGUACAGGCUGCCGGGAAUACUGUAGCGCCAGGGAGUGGGAGAGGUAGACGGUACUCGGUAGGAAGGGGUAAAAUCCUUUGAUCUAUUGAUGACCACCUGUGGCGAAGGCGGUCUACCAGAACACGUCCGACGGUGAGGGAUGAAAGCUGGGGGAGCAAACCGGAUUAGAUACCCGGGUAGUCCCAGCUGUAAACUAUGCAAACUCAGUGAUGCAUUGGCUUGUGGCCAAUGCAGUGCUGCAGGGAAGCCGUUAAGUUUGCCGCCUGGGAAGUACGUACGCAAGUAUGAAACUUAAAGGAGUUGGCGGGGGAGCACCACAAGGGUGAAGCCUGCGGUUC
Molecule: ribosomal RNA, 428 nt
Filed under: uncultured archaeon
Lineage: Archaea
Description: bacterial SSU rRNA
Rfam family: Archaeal small subunit ribosomal RNA
Source: RNAcentral